UACGAAGGGGGCUAGCGUUGCUCGGAAUCACUGGGCGUAAAGCGCACGUAGGCGGCUUCUUAAGUCAGGGGUGAAAUCCUGGAGCUCAACUCCAGAACUGCCUUUGAUACUGAGAAGCUUGAGUUCGGGAGAGGUGAGUGGAACUGCGAGUGUAGAGGUGAAAUUCGUAGAUAUUCGCAAGAACACCAGUGGCGAAGGCGGCUCACUGGCCCGAUACUGACGAUCAGGUGCGAAAGCGUGGGGAGCAAACAGG
Molecule: ribosomal RNA, 253 nt
Filed under: uncultured bacterium
Lineage: Bacteria
Description: partial 16S ribosomal RNA
Rfam family: Bacterial small subunit ribosomal RNA
Source: RNAcentral